Molecule: ribosomal RNA, 253 nt
Filed under: uncultured bacterium
Lineage: Bacteria
Description: partial 16S ribosomal RNA
Rfam family: Bacterial small subunit ribosomal RNA
Source: RNAcentral
UACGUAGGGUGCGAGCGUUAAUCGGAAUUACUGGGCGUAAAGCGUGCGCAAGCGGCGCGUUAAGACAGGUGUGAAAGCCCCGAGCUUAACUUGGGAAUUGCGCUUGUGACUGGCGUGCUGGAGUGUGGCAGAGGGAGGUGGAAUUCCACGUGUAGCAGUGAAAUGCGUAGAGAUGUGGAGGAACACCGAUGGCGAAGGCAGCCUCCUGGGCCAGCACUGACGCUCAUGCACGAAAGCGUGGGGAGCAAACAGG